RNAcentral lists this long non-coding RNA (4468 nucleotides) under Papio anubis (olive baboon). RNAcentral describes it as "lncRNA (ENSPANG00000045452.1)". Lineage: Eukaryota; Metazoa; Chordata; Mammalia; Primates; Cercopithecidae. The record is from RNAcentral.
AUGCAGAGGCAGCGGGGCGCUCGGCCGGGUCGGCACCUUGCGGCUCCUGCUCUGCGCACUGGCCCGGCUGGCCCUGCUCCGCGCCGCGGGCGCUUUGGCCACUGCAGAACCCUUCAGCCCUCCCUGAGGAGACUCAGCUCAGAGCACAGCGUGGGACAGACACAUGGCUGUGCAAUGCCAUCUAGAUGUCAUGGAGGAGGUAACAGGGUGGUUUGGAAGGACGUGCAGAUUCAGGACCACCUUCUAGGAUGGUGUUUUUAUGGGCAGAUGCAAGCUUGCUUUGGAAUGUCAGGACAUCUGGGCCAAUCCUGCCCUGGGGCUACCUUGUCCAACAUCACCCUCCCAUCUAGGCUGCCAGGCUGGCGAGCCCCCAAUGGAUCCUGCCUCUCCUAAGGCCUUACUUACCCCCACCCUGACAUUUCAGCAUCAGUACUGGAUGGGAAGGUGGAAAUCCAGUCACUGUUUUGUUACAUAGCCACGAUUCCUAACCUGUGUGGGGAAAACUUUACAUCUUUAUUGUCACAAGUCUUUAACUGAAAUUGAGCAUUCCUGUUCACCAUAAAUACGGACAGCAAGCCAUGGUGUUAACAGUACUAUAGCUUUUCAUCAAUAGAAAUUCAGAUAAUUUCAUCUUCUUCUAGUUAUGAAUAUCUCAACAUAACAUUUAUAUCUUUCAUUAUGUCAAAAUUUUAGUUGUUGUUAGGCCUGAUGCUAAAUCACGUGAGUUAAUAAAUACAUUUUUUUUUUUUUUUUGAGGCAGGGUCUCUCUCUGUCAACCAGGCUGGAGUGUAGUGGUGCAGUCUCGGCUCACUGCAACUUCCACCUCCCAGGCUCAAGCAAUCCUCCCACCUCAGCCUCCCAAGUAGCUGGGACUACGGCACAUAUACCACCAUGCCUGGCUAAUUUUUGUAUUUUUUUUGUAGAAAUGAGGUUUUGCUAUGUUUCCCAGGCUGGUCUCGAACUCCUAAGCUCAAGCCAUCCACCCACCUCGGCCUCCCAAAGUGCUGGGAUUACAGGCAUGAGCCACUGUGCCCGGCCAAUACAUAUAUUACAUCCAAUUUUUUUAAAUUUUGUUUUUGACAGAGUCUUGCUCUGUCACCCAGGCUAAAGUGCAUGGUACAAUCUCGGCUCACUGCCACCUCCGCCUACCAGGUUCCAGUGAUUCUCAUGCCUCAACUUCCUGAGUAGCUGGGACCACAGGCAUGCACCACCAUGCCCGGCUAAUUUUUUGUAUUUUUGGUAGAGAUGGGGUUUCACCAUAUGGCCAGGCUGGUCUCAAACUCCUCAAGUGAUCUGCCUGCCUCGGCCUCCCAAAAUGCUGGGAUUACAGGCGUGAGUCACCAUGCUGGGCCAAAAAGUUUAUUUAUUUAUUUAUUUAUUUAUGUUUAUUUUUUUUAAGCAGAGUCUCACUCUGUCGCCCAGGCUGGAGUGCAAUGGCAUGAUCUCGGCUCACUGCAACCUCCACCUCCUGGUUCAAGUGAUUCUCUUGCCUCGGCCUCCUGAGUAGCUGGGACUACAGAUGCGCAUCAUCUUGCCAGGCUUCUUUUUGUAUUUUUAGUAGAGACAGGGUUUCACCAUGUUGACCAGGCUGAUCUCAAUCUCCUGACCUCUGGUGAUCCGCCCACCUCGGCCUCCCGAAGUGCUGGGAUUACAGGCGAGAGCCACCACGCCCGGCCUAAUACUUGAAUAAUAUUUUAAUGCAAUUGGUGCCCUUGGUAAUUCUAUAUGUUUUAUUUUUUCAUUUAUGGCAUUAUUCUGUGAAGAGGUCCCUAGGCUUCACUACACUGCUAGUAGGGUCCAUGGCAUACACAGGGAAAAACCAUUAAGAACCGUGAGUAAAUUUCAAAAUCCCAGACCUGUCAUUUGGCAGAGACACCACCAGGGAGCGGAAUAACAAAAGGAAUGUGAGCUCCAGGCUGCAAAGUCCAAAAGGGAGAAGGUUAUCUACAGGCGCUUCAUCCAAACCUGUGACUGAGUGCCAAAAAGGAAGGAGCCGUAGAGAGCGAGCCCCGUAGGAUAUUGUCAUCUGAGGAAACUGAGGCAGGUAGGGGCAAAGCUUGAGUGAGGAAAACCCAGGUCCUGCAGCACCCAGUCCUUUCCCACUGCACCCCACUGGACCGCCAGCUGCUCCUUGGGACCUGGCUGAUGAAGCAGAACGUGGCACCGCUCCUGUCCCGGACGUUACCCACCAUCUCACUCUAGAUGGUAGAGAAGACCACGGAUCACCUGGGGACACCUGCUGGAGGAGCUGGCCUGGAACCUGCCCCGGGGACCCUUCGGCCCCGCCCCCGACCUCCUCGGAGAGGGUGAGCAGUGCGGGUGGCAGAGGACAGCCUCCGGGCUGCUGUCAUCUGGCGCUGGGCAGGCGAGACGGGGACGGCUGCUACACCGCAUAGGGGAGCCCGGAUAGCAGGGAGGGUCCCAGCGCCCCCUGCGGACGGAAGCGGGACGGCAUCAUCCCCGCUCCCCUCCCUUACCACCCUCCGACCCGCACCCCCCCACUCCCCCCCCUCCCCCCCCCCCCCCCCCCCCCCCCCCACACACCGGGUCGCUGCUUCCCAGUGUCAGAUGAGGUUCUGGAAGAGCCGGCCCUAGACGCCCUCUCAGCACAGCCCCGGCGCGGAGAAGCUGCCUGCUUCAUUGGCCUUCUCACGACCGGAGCUCCUCAGCGCCUUUCAUUCCCCCGUGAGGAGCCACUCCUGUUCCACCCCAAAACCGUGGCAGGGAAGACAGGUACCCCCACUGAUCAGGCAGGGAUAGGGUUGCACUCUGUUCUCUCCUUGAUCCCUGUGUCCCGUGCGCAGGAGUUCCCGGGGGCUGGGGAGGGGAGGGAAGGAACAGCUGGACACCGCGGGGGCGGGUACCCUGCAGCACCCCAGCUUGCUCAGUGGAGGCCGCCGCUUUCUUUCGGAUGGCUUCUGAGCCCCGGAGCUGGAGCCCAGCUGCUGGAGGUGGUGCACCUGCCAGGCAGCACCCUCUGAAAGCCAGCCCUGGUCUCUCACCCUCCUUCUUCAGCUUCGUGUGAAAUAAAAGCUACUGUUUUGGUCUCCUCUGUGUCUGCUGACAGAGUAACCCGUUUAACUACAGCCCCUUCUCCCUCCACUUCCAUGCCUGGGGGAGGCCGACAACCCCUCCAGGCUCAGACAUGGGGACACGCCCACUCCCCCUUUCUGUGCUUUAGCACUCCUUAUUUAUAGGGGCAGAUGGAGCAGGAGUUCAUCCACAGAGGUGGGGUCCCUUCGAGUGGCCUUGCUUCUCAAAAUGUGGCCAUAGGUGAGAAGCAAGGAGAUCAGGGUCUCAGGACCCACCCAGACUCCUUAAUCCAAAUCUGCAUUGCAAUAAGACCCCCAGGGAAUUUAUGUGUCCAUUAAAGAGGUUUGUUGUUGUUGUUUUAAAAAAACUUUCCUAUGAAGUGAAAUUCAAUGUAAAAUGCAUCAUUGUAACCAUUUUAAAUUGUACAAGGCUGAGGGCAGUGGCUUACCUCUAUAAUCCUAGCACUUUGGGAGGCCAAGGUAGGCGGAUCACUUGAACCCAGAAGUUUGAGACCAGCCUGGACAACAUGGUGAAACCCCAUCCCUACAAAAAAUCCAAAAAUUAGCCGGGCAUGGUGGCACGGUGGUGCAUGCCUGUAGUCCAAGCUACUCAGGAGGCUGGGGUGGGAGGAUCACCUGAGCCUUGGAGGUCAAGGCUGCGGUGAGCCAUGAUUGUGCCACUGCACUUCAACCUGGGUGACAGAGUGAGACCUUGUCUCCAAAAUAAAUAAAUAAAAUAAAUAAGCAAAUUGUACAAAUGCAGUGACUUCCAGUACAUUCAGAAGUUGUGCAGUCAUACCACCAGUUCCAGAACAUUGUUCUCACUCUAGAAAGAAACUCUGUACCUAUUAAGAAGUCACAUCCCAUUCCUGUCCCCCCGCCCCCCCCGCCAUGCCCCUGGAAACCACUGAUCUCUGUCUCCAUGAACUUGCCUAUUCCGGACAUUUUAAAUACAGUAGUCCCGCUUUAUCUGUGGUUUCACCUUCCAUGGUUUCAGUUACCUGAAGUCAACCACAGUCCUAAAAUAUUAAACUCCAGAAAUAAACAAUAUAUGAGUUUUCAAUCACACAUCAUUCUAAGUGGUGUGAUGAAAUCUCUCGCCAUCCCACUUCGUCCCACCCCGGACAUGAACGCUCCCUUUGUCCAGCAUGGUCCACGCUGUCUACACUUCCUGCCUGUUAGUCGCUUAGCAGCCUUCUCAGCUACCAGAUCAAUGGCCACAGUUUCGCAGUGCUUGUGUUCCAGCAACACUUCAUUCACUUAAUCAAGACCCGAAGUGCAAGAGCAGGGCUGCUGGCAUAUGGUUAUUGUUUUUCAUGCAACUGUCCCUUCACAGAAGCUGGCAUAUUGUUCUAAUUUUUCUGUUUUAUUCUUAGCUAUUGUUGCUAAUCUCUUAUGGUGCCUAAUUUAUAAAUUAAGCUUCAUAGGUAUGCAUG